GCACUGCUGAGGAGUCCCACAAUAGGUCGAAACGGCCGUCCAGUGC
This is a non-coding RNA of Schistosoma mansoni, 46 nucleotides long. The record is from Rfam. NCBI's taxonomy places the organism in Eukaryota, Metazoa, Platyhelminthes, Trematoda, Strigeidida, Schistosomatidae.